GAGGCGGGCGGGUACAUGGCGGGCUCUGUGGGACUGGCGUUGUGCGGGCAGACGUUGGUGGUGCGGGGCGGCAGCCGAUUCCUGGCCACCUCCAUAGCAAGCAGGUGAGGGGGCCUUGGUCUUGGAACAGGGAGACCAGGCUGCGGGCGCGCGUCGGGUCCUGGCGACCCCGCUUCUCCCGCACCGCCUGGUCGCACCCACUCUGGGGUGACCCCGGGGAACUCCGCUCCAGCCCACGAGUCCUCCGCCGCAGUCUCGGCCUGGCCGCGUCUCUGCGCCUGGAGGGUCCGCUUUCGCCGUCCGCUCUCGGCGUCCGCUCCCCGGCUCCGGCGCGCUCCUUGCACUAGAUGGCUGGUCUGCGGUGUUCUUGCCCGGUUAGCGCCGCCGGGUCGCUUCCGGUCUCCGCGGCGCCGGCGGGGACCGGUGAUGAUGACAGCCUCUUCAUCUAUGACUGCAGUGCUGCAGAAAAGAAGUCACAAGAAAAUAAAGGGGAGGACGCGCCCUUGGACCAGGGGAGCGGUGCGAUUCUGGCGUCCACCUUCUCCAAGUCUGGCAGCUAUUUUGCUUUAACCGAUGACAGUAAGCGUCUGAUUCUUUUCCGUACAAAACCAUGGCAAUGUCUGAGUGUCAGGACCGUGGCAAGGAGGUGUACAGCCCUGACUUUCAUAGCCUCGGAGGAGAAGGUCUUGGUGGCCGACAAGUCUGGAGACGUCUACUCCUUUUCGGUGCUGGAGCCACACGGGUGUGGCCGUCUAGAGCUGGGGCACCUGUCUAUGCUGUUAGAUGUGGCUGUGAGUCCUGAUGACCGCUUCAUCCUCACUGCCGACCGGGACGAGAAGAUCCGAGUCAGCUGGGCCGCGGCGCCCCAUAGCAUCGAGUCCUUCUGCUUGGGGCACACAGA
This 901-nucleotide long non-coding RNA is filed under the name Homo sapiens (human). Its description in RNAcentral is "non-protein coding lnc-CBS-1:2". Lineage: Eukaryota; Metazoa; Chordata; Mammalia; Primates; Hominidae. The record is from RNAcentral.